UGAUUUACAUUUGAGUGAGUGGCGAACUGGUGAGUAACAACGUGGGAAACCGUAGCCCACGAAGCGGGGGAGUAACACCUGGAAACAGAUGCUAUACCGCAUAACAACUUAGACCGCAUGGUCCGAGUUGUAAAAGAUGGCUUCGGCUAUCACUUUUGGAUGGUCCCGCGGCGUAUUAGCUAGAUGGUGAGGUAACGGCUCACCAUGGCAAUGAUACGUAGCCCGACCCUGAGAGGGUAAUCGGCCACAUUGGGACUGAGACACGGCCCAAACUCC
Molecule: ribosomal RNA, 276 nt
Filed under: uncultured Lactobacillus sp.
Lineage: Bacteria; Bacillati; Bacillota; Bacilli; Lactobacillales; Lactobacillaceae
Description: partial 16S ribosomal RNA
Rfam family: Bacterial small subunit ribosomal RNA
Source: RNAcentral